Molecule: long non-coding RNA, 1099 nt
Organism: Fundulus heteroclitus (mummichog)
Lineage: Eukaryota; Metazoa; Chordata; Actinopteri; Cyprinodontiformes; Fundulidae
Exons: 4
Source: RefSeq, a predicted model, not a curated record
CAAAGCCUGAGACGUCUGUUCAUGCAGCAUCUGGACCCAAUUUGGUUCUGGUUUGAAUAAACACAGAACCACCUGUUCCAGGUGUGUAAACCUGUCCAGGGCUAGAAGUCACCUCCUCAGACCAGAUUCCAGUGAACACAGAGCUGGACUGGUUUCAGCUACACCUGGACUCUACCUGCCAACAGCGGCUGAUCUGAUUGACUGAGGGUGAGGACUCAGGUGGCUCACCUGUCAGCUGUCGAGGAAUCAGGUGUGUCUCCAGACCAGCCCGACCUGUUCCACCUGCUGCUGCAGUCUGAGCAUGCUCAGUGGAGUCAAACCUGACAGGUGAGAUGGCGUUUUCUGGUGGGGAAAGGCCCAGCCCGCUCUGUGAUGCCCCCUACUGUUACUCUGGGAUUUGUAAGAUCGGAGGUGGACAGGAUGUAGGGAUGUUUUAAAAAGCAACAAGGACGAUUCAUUAUCAUCGUGGAGACAGCCGGCUGUUCCUGUCAUGCUGCAGCGACGCAACACUCCAAAACACACCACAUCAUCUUAAAGCUGGACUUUAGAGACUGUGUUAGCAAAGCAUCAAUGCAGCCACUUCCUCAUCAAGAACACAUCAACGAGUUCUAAUGCCUCAGCUUCAGCAGAACCUCACUGCAGCACCAAGGCCGAUGAGCCGCUAUGAUCUUAGCUGUAAUCCACACAGGGCUUCCCAUCAGGCACAUAUUCAGCUUUCUGGACACCUAGUCAGCAUCUUUCAUUCACAGUGUAAUAAUAUAAUGACGGAUUUAUAAAGCAACAAGUAAGGCGCUUGAGACGCUUUGAUUUUCCUGUUUUGUUGCCUCGACUUGUAGAGGAGAACGCAGUUCCUCUAAAUGAGAGAAACUUGUAGAUAAGGGAACGGUUUAUUGCUUUUACACGGUUCCACUUUAAUUUCAGGAGUCUUCCUUCCAGCGUCGACACGAGAAUGUUUAAUGUCUCUGAGGCUUGACCCUUGGUGCUAUCUACUAAGAUUUACUCUUCUUAACUUGAGUUUAACUGGAGCUUUUCAUUCAACUGCAGUGGUUGUAAAUGAAUAAAUAAUUUUAUUUAUUUAUUUAUCAAAUAAAAAAUAAAC